This 1313-nucleotide ribosomal RNA is filed under the name uncultured Alphaproteobacteria bacterium. RNAcentral's name for it is "bacterial SSU rRNA". It matches the Rfam family "Bacterial small subunit ribosomal RNA", at positions 27 to 1392 of the family's 1533-position model. The record is from RNAcentral. Lineage: Bacteria; Pseudomonadati; Pseudomonadota; Alphaproteobacteria.
GAACGAACGCUGGCGGCACGCCUAACACAUGCAAGUCGAACGCGAACGCACCUUCGGGUGUUAUUAGAGUGGCGGACGGGUGAGUAACACGUGGGAAUAUGCCUUUCGGUACAGAACAACGCUUGGAAACGAGUGCUAAUACUGUAUACGCCCUCCGGGGGAAAGAUUUAUCGCCGAAAGAUUGGCCCGCGCUAGAUUAGCUAGUUGGUAAGGUAAAAGCUUACCAAGGCGACGAUCUAUAGCUGGUUUGAGAGGAUGAUCAGCCACACUGGGACUGUGACACGGCCCAGACUCCUACGGGAGGCAGCAGUGGGGAAUAUUGGACAAUGGGGGCAACCCUGAUCCAGCGAUGCCGCGUGAGUGAUGAAGGCCUUAGGGUUGUAAAACUCUUUCGGGGGUGAAGAUAAUGACGGUAACCCCAGAAGAAGCUCCGGCUAACUCCGUGCCAGCAGCCGCGGUAAUACGGAGGGGGUUAGCGUUGUUCGGAAUUACUGGGCGUAAAGCGCACGUAGGCGGACUGGAAAGUUGGGGGUGAAAUCCCAGGGCUCAACCCUGGAACUGCCUCCAAAACUAUCAGUCUAGAGUUCGAGAGAGGUGAGUGGAAUUCCGAGUGUAGAGGUGAAAUUCGUAGAUAUUCGGAGGAACACCAGUGGCGAAGGCGGCUCACUGGCUCGAUACUGACGCUGAGGUGCGAAAAGUGUGGGGAAGCAAACAAGGAUUAGAUACCCCUGGUUAGUCCACACCGUAAAACGAUGAAAUGCCAGUCGUCGGGUAGCAUGCUAUUCGGUGACCCACCUAACGGAUUAAGCAUUCCGCCUGGGGAGUACGGUCGCAAGAUUAAAACUCAAAGGAAUUGACGGGGGCCCGCACAAGCGGUGGAGCAUGUGGUUUAAUUCGAAGCAACGCGCAGAACCUUACCAACCCUUGACAUCCUAGGACCGGCCCAGAGAUGGGUCUUUCACUUCGGUGACCUAGUGACAGGUGCUGCAUGGCUAUCGUCAGCUCGUGUCGUGAGAUGUUCGGUUAAGUCCGGCAACGAGCGCAACCCACAUCCUUAGUUGCCAGCAGUUCGGCUGGGCACUCUAGGGAAACUGCCCGUGAUAAGCGGGAGGAAGGUGUGGAUGACGUCAAGUCCUCAUGGCCCUUAUGGGCUGGGCUACACACGUGCUACAAUGGCAGUGACAAUGGGUUAAUCCCAAAAAACUGUCUCAGUUCGGAUUGGGGUCUGCAACUCGACCCCAUGAAGUCGGAAUCGCUAGUAAUCGCGUAACAGCAUGACGCGGUGAAUACGUUCCCGGGCCUUGCACACACCG